GCAUAUCAAUAAGCGGAGGAAAAGAAACCAACAGGGAUUCCCCUAGUAACGGCGAGUGAAGCGGGAACAGCUCAAAUUUGAAAUCUGGCCCUCGGGUCCGAGUUGUAAUUUGUAGAGGAUGCUUUUGGUGCGGUGCCUUCCGAGUUCCCUGGAACGGGACGCCUUAGAGGGUGAGAGCCCCGUACGGUUGGACGCCUAGCCUCUGUAAAGCUCCUUCGACGAGUCGAGUAGUUUGGGAAUGCUGCUCUAAAUGGGAGGUAUAUUUCUUCUAAAGCUAAAUACUGGCCAGAGACCGAUAGCGCACAAGUAGAGUGAUCGAAAGAUGAAAAGCACUUUGAAAAGAGGGUUAAAUAGCACGUGAAAUUGUUGAAAGGGAAGCGUUUAUCACCAGACUUUUUCUGGGGGGAUCAUCCGGUGUUCUCACCGGUGCACUUCCCCCAGUUGAGGCCAGCAUCGGUUUUCGGAGGGGGAUAAAAGCUUCGGGAAUGUGACUCCCUCGGGAGUGUUAUAGCCCGUUGCAUAAUACCCUUCUGGGGACCGAGGUUCGCGCAUCUGCAAGGAUGCUGGCAUAAUGGUGAUCAACGACCCGUCUUGAAACACGGACCAAGGAGUCGAACAUUUAUGCGAGUGUUUGGGUGUCAAACCCUCACGCGUAAUGAAAGUGAACGGAGGUGAGAGCCCUUACGGGUGCAUCAUCGACCGAUCCUGAUGUCUUCGGAUGGAUUUGAGUAAGAGCAUAACUGUUCGGACCCGAAAGAUGGUGAACUAUGCGUGGAUAGGGUGAAGCCAGGAGAAAUCCUGGUGGAGGCUCGCAGCGGUUCUGACGUGCAAAUCGAUCGUCAAAUCUGCGCAUGGGGGCGAAAGACUAAUCGAACCAUCUAGUAGCUGGUUACCGCCGAAG
RNAcentral lists this ribosomal RNA (901 nucleotides) under Nigrospora musae. Its description in RNAcentral is "LSU rRNA". It matches the Rfam family "Eukaryotic large subunit ribosomal RNA", at positions 38 to 966 of the family's 3401-position model. Lineage: Eukaryota; Fungi; Ascomycota; Sordariomycetes; Amphisphaeriales; Apiosporaceae. The record is from RNAcentral.